Molecule: ribosomal RNA, 212 nt
Filed under: uncultured Desulfocapsa sp.
Lineage: Bacteria; Pseudomonadati; Thermodesulfobacteriota; Desulfobulbia; Desulfobulbales; Desulfocapsaceae
Description: partial 16S ribosomal RNA
Rfam family: Bacterial small subunit ribosomal RNA
Source: RNAcentral
AAGUGGGGAUGACGUCAAGUCCUCAUGGCCUUUAUGACCAGGGCUACACACGUACUACAAUGGCAGGUACAAAGGGCAGCCACUUAGCGAUAAGGCGCGAAUCCCGUAAAACCUGUCUCAGUCCGGAUUGGAGUCUGCAACUCGACUCCAUGAAGUUGGAAUCGCUAGUAAUCGCAGAUCAGCACGCUGCGGUGAAUACGUUCCCGGGCCUU